RNAcentral lists this ribosomal RNA (459 nucleotides) under uncultured bacterium. Its description in RNAcentral is "partial 16S ribosomal RNA". It matches the Rfam family "Bacterial small subunit ribosomal RNA", at positions 338 to 795 of the family's 1533-position model. The record is from RNAcentral.
CCUACGGGAGGCAGCAGUGAGGAAUAUUGGUCAAUGGACGAGAGUCUGAACCAGCCAAGUAGCGUGAAGGAUGACUGCCCUAUGGGUUGUAAACUUCUUUUAUAAAGGAAUAAAACGAUGCACGUGUGGCUUUUUGCAUGUACUUUAUGAAUAAGGAUCGGCUAACUCCGUGCCAGCAGCCGCGGUAAUACGGAGGAUCCGAGCGUUAUCCGGAUUCAUUGGGUUUAAAGGGUGCGCAGGGGGGUGUUUAAGCCGGUGGUGAAAUCUUGGGGCGAAACCUCACAGAGCCGUCGGAACUGGGAGUCUUGAGUGCAGCAGAGGCAUGCGGAAUGCGCGGUGUAGCGGUGAAAUGCUUAGAUAUCGCGCAGAACCCCGAUUGCGAAGGCAGCGUGCUGUGCUGCCACUGACGCUGAGGCACGAAAGCGCGGGGAUCGAACAGGAUUAGAUACCCCAGUAGUC